AAUAACUUUUAUCACUUUUUCAAAUAAGCACAGUUUUUGGCCAGCUCUCAUGUGCUUGUCCACUGAAGCUAAGCAGAGCUGUGCCAGGUCAGUACCUGGAUGGGAGAACACAUGGGAAAGCUAGGAAGUGGUGUUA
This 136-nucleotide ribosomal RNA is filed under the name Danio rerio (zebrafish). The record is from RNAcentral. Lineage: Eukaryota; Metazoa; Chordata; Actinopteri; Cypriniformes; Danionidae.